RNAcentral lists this small RNA (3765 nucleotides) under Arabidopsis thaliana (thale cress). Its description in RNAcentral is "ATSL033930". The stretch from base 2922 to 3142 matches the Rfam family "MIR854 microRNA precursor family". Lineage: Eukaryota; Viridiplantae; Streptophyta; Magnoliopsida; Brassicales; Brassicaceae. The record is from RNAcentral.
GGUACAAUAGCUGUUACAGGGACAAACAUCUAGCUCAAUGGAAAUUCCAAAAAAUUAUCUGAAUUGCACCAUAAGCUGGACUGCAGCUACAAUGACCUGAAUGCCAAAGUGGAGGCAUUGAAUACCAAAGUCAGAUAGUUGGAAGGCCAAUCAGCAUCUACCUCUGCACCUAAAGUAACAGGACUUCCUGGGAAGUCAAUACAGAAUCCAAAGGAGUAUGCAACUGCUCACGCCAUCACCAUCUGCCAGGACCGAGAGCUGCCAACUCGACCUGUCCCUGAUUUCAUCACUAGGGACAGUGAUGUUCAAGAAGGGGAGGCUUCUACUCAGGUUGAAGUCUCUGUUGUUGAAUUCAACCAUUCUGCUGGUUCUGGCCAUCUCAUUCAAUCCACCUCGGAAGAAAAGGCCGCCAUAAUCGAGAGAAUGGUAAAACAAUUCAAACCUACUCCACUACCCUCACGUGCUCUUCCAUGGACAUUCAGGAAAGCGUGGAUGGAGAGAUACAAGUCAGUUGCAGCGAAGCAACUGGACGAGAUUGAAGCAGUGAUGCCACUAAUGGAAGUUCUUAACCUGAUUGUCUGUGCGAUCUCGGAGCCUCUCUAUAGUUCAUUUUCCUCUUGAUAAGUGUGAGGAGUCAAGCUAGAGGCUUUAAACAAGCUCACUUGGGAGGAAGUCCCAUGACUAUCUCUGUAAAUAAAAAAUUUCUUUUCUUGUUAUUUUUGAUUUGUCUUAGUUGUGUUUGUAGUUCUCAGGAACAAGGGAGCAACGUGGAGAUAGAGUAGAAAAACUUUUAAAUCAUCAUUUUACUCGACCAACAGAAGCUACAGAGUCUUACAAGGAGUUUAUCUAGUUUACAAUAGAUUUCCUGCAGUUUUCCCAGUCAACAGAGUGUGGACCACGCACUGAGGAUAAGAUAGAGAGAGAAUCUCAAACUCAAUCUCAGCCAUUCCUUUCACUCGACCUUACUCUCUCCUGUUUUCCACCACUCGAUCAAAACAACCAACUCGACCUCAUAAGGCCUAGCCGUACUCGACCUCCGCCGCCUCCACAGAGUUCAACGAUUCACUCGACCAUCAGAACUACUCGACCUCCAAGGACCACUCGACCUCGGCGCCACCGUCACCAGUUCAUUUCCUCUUUCACUCGACCGGACCUCUUCACUUGAUUCCGUUGCAGUACUCGACCAAUUCAUCCACAUCAACCGCCGUCUCUUCUAAAAGAAGUUACUCGACUUCUUUUCCCGGUCUCGUAUCUCACUCGACCUCGGAGAAACACUCGACCUCUGCGCCGCCGCAAUCGAAUACUCCGCCUCGCUCACCGUCGAAGUCUUAGGGUCUACUCGAUUACAACAAAAGAACCCGACCACAAGCAUUCGCUCGACCUCCAGUAUUCACUCGACCCCUGCAACCAUCUACUCGACCUCUAGGCUUCACCGGCUGAACUCAACCUCCACGACUCACUCGACCUCCUGAAGCAUUCCAACUCGAAUUCGUAGAAGAUACUCGAUCCAAUUCGUUUAAGGGAAACUCAAGAACAGCUCAGUCUACUCGAGUACAGAAUUGUACUCGAUCAAUAGGGUCUAUUUCACUGCAUAUUGAUAACAAUUUUGGUUUCAUUGCUAUCUUUGAGACUAACCUAUUGACAUUUGUGUUUUGAGUUCUAAAUUUCUUCAGGGGAAUCAUGAGCAAUUACAGUGGCAGUUCUUCUGUUGAUUCUGACUACAACAUGGAUGAGACAGAAUCGUCAUCUUCAAGGCCUGAGAGAGAACAAAGAGAAUAUGAAAGCUUCAGAAGAAAAGCUGAGAUAGCCCGAGGGAAGAGAGCGAUGACAGAGAGGUAUGAGCUUAUAGACAAAGAUCUGGAAGACGAGUACAUGCCUGAGCAUACUCGCAGAGCUACCAAACUUUUGCACAAGCCUGACGUAUUGCCUGCUGAGGAAUAUAUUAGGCUCUUCAAGCUGAAUGAGUUCUGUAGCACGAGGUAUUCUUGCUCGACCACACUUUCACAUCUCGGAUUGUUGGAGGAUGUUCAGCACCUGUACCAUAGUUGUCAUCUGGACACUCUGAUGGCUUAUCCGUAUGUAGCUUAUGAAGAUGAGACAAUUCAGUUCCUCUCCACGCUGCAAGUGGAGCUCUACCAAGGUAUGACCUCUGAUGAGUUGGAUUGUGAAGGAUUGGGAUUCUUGAGAUUCUCUGUGUAUGGUCAUGAGUAUAGGUUAUCAAUCAAGCGCUUGGAAGGAUUGUUUGGUUUCCCAGUGGAACGGGAACUAAGCCCAAGUAUGACAGAGAAGAGUUGAAAGACUUGUGGAUCACCAUUGGCAGCUCUGUACCGCUGAAUUCUUCCAUGUCAAAGAGCAAUCAGAUACGCAGCCCUGUCAUCAGGUACUUCCAGCGUUCCAUAGCCAAUGUACUCUACUCCCGAGAGAUCACAGGGACUGUUACUAACUUUGAUAUGGAGAUGAUCGCAAUGGCUCUUAAGGGAACUCUGCGCCAAACUAAGAAUGGCAUGUCUCUCCAAGGUGAAAUCAAUGACACACCUCUCUCUGUACUUCUCCUGAUCCAUCUGUGUGGAUACAAGAGCUGGGCUGUCAGCAAUAACCACAAGAGAGCACGAGGCGCUCUAUGCAUAGGUGCUGUUGUGACACCGAUUCUGAUCGCUUGUGGAGUCCCAAUCACUUCUGAUGGACUCGAGCUGCGAGCAAUGGAUAUCGAGCAGCUACGUCACUUCGAAUUCUUGGAGUUUGCAAUGGUUGACGACUUGCACAGGUUCAGGUUUGAGCACUCUACAGACAGGAGAGCUAGCAUCCUUCUCCCUAGCCCUGAGGUUACAUUGAUUUUCGGCUUGAGGUUGGACGCCUCUACUAUGAGAACGCUCUGCCAUUGGAUGAGGAUGAUCUUCUAGAAGAAGCUGCGUUGGAUGGGAUGGAUGAAGACAGAGCAGUGGAGUUCGACACUAGCAUGUAUCACUUUGGUGAACAUGUACCCCCAACGAGGGAGAGCAAGAGCUUGAGUGAAGCUCAUAAGAACAACAGUAAACUGCAGAAGUGGUGCAAGAAGCAGGACAAGCUGCUCGCCAAGUGUUUCAAGACUAUCAAGUUUCUAACAGAUAAGUUGAGUUGUUCCUCCUCCACCACUGCUAUUCCACAGGGACAACCUCCUAUGGAGAUGCCAUCGAGGAGAUUUGAUGAGCCUUAGCACAUGCCUGAGCUUAGCGAGCAGAGAGUUUCACAUGUUCCGGCUAGGCAUUCGUCAUUCGAGUCCCGAGAGCACAAGAGAAGAAGGAAGGCUACACUCACUCAAUCUAGCAGCAGAUCACGCCUCAUUCACUCGAGGAGAUAACUCGACCGCGGUGCUGGCCACAACAAAAGAAGGGAGGUUGAGUAUUCAUAGAGCGGUGCUUGCCGCCACAUAGCUGAUGAGGUCGAGUACCCACCUGCUGGAGCUGAUACAGAACAAGGCGGUUCGUCUAUGGCCUGGGAGCAAUCACAGGCAGCCAUUGACGACCAACUACGUUCAUUCUUCGACUGAGGUAAGCGCCUCACUUCACCAUUGUAAUAUAUCAUCCGUUGUGAUUUGUUUCUUCAUUUUGUUUUUGUGAUUGGAUUUGUCCCGAGUACUGUCUUCCAAGUUUAGUCACACAGUGGACUGUGUGAUUUAAGUUUGGGGGAGGGCUCAGGAAGUGUGUGUUGCAUUGUAUAUAUUCUUGAGUCUGCAUUCAUCUAAGGCAUAGAAAAACCAAAAAAAUUUGAAAAAUUUCAGAAAAUGAU